Molecule: ribosomal RNA, 702 nt
Filed under: uncultured Glomerales
Lineage: Eukaryota; Fungi; Glomeromycota; Glomeromycetes; Glomerales; Glomeraceae
Description: LSU rRNA
Rfam family: Eukaryotic large subunit ribosomal RNA
Source: RNAcentral
GCAUAUCAAUAAGCGGAGGAAAAGAAACUAACAAGGAUUCCCUUAGUAACGGCGAGUGAAGAGGGAAGAGCUCAAAUUUUAAAUCUAUCAUGUUUGUACAUGAUCGAAUUGUAAUUUGAAGAAGCGUUUUCUCGUACUUUAUGCAAUCAGUAUAAGUUCUCUUGGAACAGGACAUCAUAGAGGGUGAGAAUCCCGUCUCUGACAUGGACCUCCCGGGGCAUCGCGAUGGCGCUCUCAAAGAGUCGAGUUGUUUGGGAAUGCAGCUCCAAAUGGGUGGUAAAUUCCAUCUAAAGCUAAACAUUGGCGAGAGACCGAUAGCGAACAAGUACCGUGAGGGAAAGAUGAAAAGAACUUUGAAAAGAGAGUUAAAAAGUAUGUGAAAUUGUUGAAAGGGAAACGAUUGAAGUCAGUCGUGCAGUCAUCAAUUCAGCGGUUAACAUUUUAUGUUUCCGUGUAAUUUGGUGUCUGUUGGUUAGCAUCAAUUUUGAUUGUUAUAAAAAGGUUAAGGGGAUGUGGCUCCUUCGGGAGUGUUAUAACCCUUAGCGUAAUGUGACGAUUAGGAUUGAGGUUUGCAACGAAUACCUUUUAGGGCAGUUUCCCUGGCCUCUCGUGGAAUUAUAGAUAGUUAAGAGCAUGCUUCUUACUGUCUAUGAUUCUACGAAAAGGUUAGUGUAAAACUAAUUCGUUAAGGAUGUUGACGUA